UGGGGAAUUUUGGACAAUGGGCGAAAGCCUGAUCCAGCAAUGCCGCGUGUGUGAAGAAGGCCUUCGGGUUGUAAAGCACUUUUGUCCGGAAAGAAAUCCUUGGCUCUAAUACAGUCGGGGGAUGACGGUACCGGAAGAAUAAGCACCGGCUAACUACGUGCCAGCAGCCGCGGUAAUACGUAGGGUGCAAGCGUUAAUCGGAAUUACUGGGCGUAAAGCGUGCGCAGGCGGUUUGCUAAGACCGAUGUGAAAUCCCCGGGCUCAACCUGGGAACUGCAUUGGUGACUGGCAGGCUAGAGUAUGGCAGGAGGGGGGUAGAAUUCCACGUGUAGCAGUGAAAUGCGUAGAGAUGUGGAGGAAUACCGAUGGCGAAGGCAGCCCCCUGGGCCAAUACUGACGCUCAUGCACGAAAGCGUGGGGAGCAAACAGGAUUAGAUACCCUGGUAGUCCACGCCCUAAACGAUGUCAACUAGUUGUUGGGGAUUCAUUUCCUUAGUAACGUAGCUAACGCGUGAAGUUGACCGCCUGGGGAGUACGGUCGCAAGAUUAAAACUCAAAGGAAUUGACGGGGUCAUAGCUGUUUCCU
This 586-nucleotide ribosomal RNA is filed under the name uncultured bacterium. Its description in RNAcentral is "partial 16S ribosomal RNA". It matches the Rfam family "Bacterial small subunit ribosomal RNA", at positions 355 to 1375 of the family's 1533-position model. The record is from RNAcentral.